Non-coding RNA from Phoenix dactylifera (date palm), 488 nucleotides. NCBI's taxonomy places the organism in Eukaryota, Viridiplantae, Streptophyta, Magnoliopsida, Arecales, Arecaceae. The record is from RefSeq and is a predicted model, not a curated record.
GCAAAUCCCUGAACUUCUUCAUAUGGGGUGGCUUCAAUCCAUUCUCUCACCACUGAAGAAGAUUUUGCCUCGCAUGCAUUCAGACCAGAAGAAGAAGAGAGGAAUAUACAUCCUAUACGAGGAUGUGAAGUCCUGCCCAUGCGAAGACGUGCAUGUUUUGUGGUCGAUGCUUGGGGGAGUCAUCUCGCCCCCACCAUUGCAGUGCUGAAAACAACGACGGGCUCAGGAAGAAGACAACGAGGCCUCCUGGUGCUGGUCUAUUUGGUCAGGUCUGCCCAUUCCCAAGCGCUUCUCUUCUCCUCAGCAUUUGGCCUUCCAGUAUUGGCUAGCCCAAGCAAUUCUUUUGUUGUUUUUUUUUGGUAAAAAUAGAUUUAUUAUGGCAAUUAUUGUAAAUAUACCCGUGGGAAUCGGACAACAAAAUGUCUAACAAUUCAGAAGAGAUAUUUGAUAUAGCAGUCCACAAGGUAGUCUCCAUAUGAUUAGCCAUA